Molecule: ribosomal RNA, 465 nt
Filed under: uncultured bacterium
Lineage: Bacteria
Description: partial 16S ribosomal RNA
Rfam family: Bacterial small subunit ribosomal RNA
Source: RNAcentral
GACGAACGCUGGCGGCGUGCUUAACACAUGCAAGUCGAACGGAAAGGCCCUGCUUGCAGGGUACUCGAGUGGCGAACGGGUGAGUAACACGUGGGUGAUCUGCCCUGCACUUCGGGAUAAGCCUGGGAAACUGGGUCUAAUACCGGAUAGGAGCCAUUUUUAGUGUGAUGGUUGGAAAGUUUUUUCGGUGUAGGAUGAGCUCGCGGCCUAUCAGCUUGUUGGUGGGGUAAUGGCCUACCAAGGCGGCGACGGGUAGCCGGCCUGAGAGGGUGGACGGCCACAUUGGGACUGAGAUACGGCCCAGACUCCUACGGGAGGCAGCAGUGGGGAAUAUUGCACAAUGGGCGCAAGCCUGAUGCAGCGACGCCGCGUGGGGGAUGACGGCCUUCGGGUUGGAAACUCCUUUCGCUAGGGACGAAGCUUUCUGUGACGGUACCUAGAUAAGAAGCACCGGCUAACUACGUG